Molecule: long non-coding RNA, 611 nt
Filed under: Homo sapiens (human)
Lineage: Eukaryota; Metazoa; Chordata; Mammalia; Primates; Hominidae
Description: long independently transcribed non-coding RNA 3111 (LINC03111)
Source: RNAcentral
AGGAGAGAGAGAAAACACAAGGAGUUAACCACCAUCGCCGGUGCUCUCUCAAAGGAAGAGGGGUUAACAGAUGAAUUCGCAAAGACAGCUCUUCUGGCCAAGAAUAUGGAUCAUUUGCAGCACAGAGGCAAGUUGAUAUAUGUAGCAUCAUGACAGUGAAGCAAAUUCCACAAAAACUGCUAAUGGACGGAGAAAUUUCAUGGAGAAAAGCUAGCAGACAGAGCUGGAAUAAAACAAUGGAUGGAGUCUCGCUCUGUCACCCAAGCUGGGGUGCAAAGGCGCGAUCUCAGCUCACUGCAACCUCCACCUCCCGGGUUCAAGUGAUUCUCCUCUCUCAGCCUCCCGAGUAGCUGGAUUACAGGUGCAUGCUGCCACACCUGGCUAAUUUUUUGUAUUUUAAUAGAGAUGGGGUUUUACCGUAUUGCCCAGGCUGGUCUUUUACUCCAUUUAUUUUUUUAAAACAACCUUAAGCAAAUGCAUCAUAAGUAUAAAGAUGAAGCAGAACCCGAGGAUUCAUAUCCAGGAAAAGGCCUAGGUUUUUCUAAGUUAAAAGAUCAGCAAAUAAAUGUACAUUUAAAUGUUCUAAGCUGAAAUAAAAUGUUGAAGGUAAA